AACUCCGCAAUGCACGAAAGUGUGACGGGGCUACCCCGAGUGCCGUCCGCUGAGGAUGGCUUUCCACGCCGUAAGGAAGCGUGGGAAUAAGGAGAGGGCAAGUCUGGUGUCAGCCGCCGCGGUAAUACCAGCUCUCCGAGUGGUAGGGAUGAUUAUUGGGCUUAAAGCGUUCGUAGCCGGCCUAACAAGUCUUUCGUUAAAUCCAACGAUUCAAUCGCUGGACCGCGGGAGACACUGUCAGGCUAGGAGGCGGGAGAGGCCGACGGUACUCUUGGGGUAAGGGUGAAAUCUUAUAAUCCCAGGAGGACCACCAGUGGCGAAGGCUGUCGGCUAGCACGCGCUCGACGGUGAGGGACGAAAGCUUGGGGAGCGAACCGGAUUAGAUACCCGGGUAGUCCAAGCUGUAAACGAUGCGGGCUAGGUGUUGGGGUGGCUACGUGCCACCUCAGUGCCGCAGGGAAACCGUUAAGCCCGCCGCCUGGGGAGUACGGCCGCAAGGCUGAAACUUAAAGGAAUUGGCGGGGGAGCACCACAAGGCGUGAAGCUUGCGGUUCAAUUGGAGUCAACGCCGGAAACCUUACCGGGGGCGACAGCAGAAUGAUGGCC
RNAcentral lists this ribosomal RNA (606 nucleotides) under uncultured crenarchaeote. RNAcentral's name for it is "bacterial SSU rRNA". It matches the Rfam family "Archaeal small subunit ribosomal RNA", at positions 346 to 955 of the family's 1478-position model. The record is from RNAcentral. Lineage: Archaea; Thermoproteati; Thermoproteota.